RNAcentral lists this long non-coding RNA (991 nucleotides) under Homo sapiens (human). RNAcentral describes it as "HSALNT0391170". The record is from RNAcentral. Lineage: Eukaryota; Metazoa; Chordata; Mammalia; Primates; Hominidae.
GGAGAAACCUCCCGCAGGCUCCCGGGCCAGGCGUGCAAGGCCCCCUCUCCUGCCAGGGCCCAGGACGCUGCGGGCCCCAGCGGAGGGGAAGGGGACUAAGUAGGGGAAGAAGCUGUAAACAGCCCCAGCGUCCGGGCCUCGCCUCGAAGAGCCGCGCUUCCCAGGCCCAGCCGCGGGCCGCCCAGGCCCCCAGCCUGCCCCGGGGCCGCCGCGCCCGGGGUCCGGGACACCGGAGGGGAGUCGGGUCCCCUCCCCGGAGAGCUCCGGGAGCUCGCGGAGCGGCCCCAGGAGCAGAGAAGGGGGAAGUCAGGACUUACCUGUCAUUACUUUCUACGCCAUCUUGGAUCCACUUGUCAACGUCCCCACAAAGCAUUAUGGGUAAGAAAGAGCCUUUAAAGUGACUCCCCCCGGCCCCCGACUCCCGCCUCCCGCCGCCGGCGCCGCCCCCUCCGGCCGCGCCUCCCGCCCGGAAAGUUGCCCCGGGUGGACUGCCGACCCCGGCGCCCGCAGCUGGCCCCUUCCCCUCCCCCGGGCUGACGGCAUUGAAAAUUCACCCGCAUUUUUAAAACGUGGCUUUGGGGUUUUCUCCCUUUCUCCUGCCCCGGCCUCCCUGCCCCCACGCCCGGUCCUCUCGCCUCGCCGCGUUCCUGCCCGGGCAGACGCCCCGCGUCUGCAUUGAAUCAACCCGAGGUUUCCUUGCCGCCCGCGGCGCGGCGCGGAGCUGCUCGCGGAUUUAUUUGUGCGCGUGGAUGUGAGCGUUUCUGCUCCUGCGGCCGCGCUUCCAGGAAGCCCGCGAGCGGCCGGGGUCGCCUUCAGAGGCCGCGCAGACCAGCUCCGCACCCGCCGCCCGGAGAGGUGCCUCUGCCCUGGGAAACCGCCCCGGGGCCGUUGGGCUCCGGGAACUGGGAGGACGCCGUGUCCCCGAGUCCACCAGCGUCGAAGCACGAUUUAAAAAAAAAAAUUGAGCCAAAUGCAACUUUUUACCCCUUGU